UCAGCACGGUUUUGAUGUGAGGCUCGUCUCGCCAUUCACACACGGUGGCUUCAGCGAUGCCUUGAAUUUUUUCCAGGGAAGGAGUGUGUUUGAUUCCACACAGUUUCAGACCUCUUGCCAAUGUGUAUUUGAACCAUGGUUUAAACAGUUUUUUCAGCAAUCGGUAGGUGUUUAGGUGUAGAUAGUACUCUUCAGGAUCGAACAAACACGCGUGUUGGAGUUGACUCGGGUGAUCGAUCGCGCAGCCGUGACAGUUGUCCUUCAGAUCUUGUUGGAUAACUCUGUCCAGCAGUUCCCCCGUAACAGCACGUAUGAUGGUUAGAACAGUGUUGGUUAUACACCCGUCGGCUUCAUCGUUCGUUGUCAGAUAGGUCAGAUUUCUUUUUCCUAGGUUUUCACCGUCUUCAAAACCCGAACUGGUCACAUCAUCAUCAUCAUCAUCAUCAUCAGCAGCAGCAUACAGGGUUGCAUCAGAGGUGUAGAAAACGGGGUUGAUUUCACAAGACAUAUUGCUGGCUUUCACCGUCUUCAAAACCCGAACUGGUCACAUCAUCAUCAUCAUCAUCAGCAGCAGCAUACAGGGUUGCAUCAGAGGUGUAGAAAACGGGGUUGAUUUCACAAGACAUAUUGCUGGUUGACGUUCAGAAUACUUUGGCUCGAUAUGUAAUCAGACUCAUUUAUAUAGCGUGUGGGAGGAGUCUUGGGGAGGUGGAGUUUCUGAUCAAGAAUAGUAUAUUGACGAUCUCAGAAUAAGACUUCUUCUAGCCUUUUUUUUUAUUUGCAUCAUUUCUUUGUCUCUUCCAGUUUUUUGGAAUAAUUCAUCGAUUUGCCGGAAGUAGCGUUGCAGAUCGUGCCAGCUGGUUCGGUCAUACCUCACUUCACAAUUCUCUUUGUUAUCAGGGGCGUUGUCACCGGUUAAUACAGCAGCACAGUGCAGUGAAACUUGGUUCUUGGAGAAAUUUGUUGCUCUGAUACAGUAUUUGCAUUGAAGAGACGUACUGUUCCAUU
Molecule: long non-coding RNA, 1008 nt
Organism: Ictalurus punctatus (channel catfish)
Lineage: Eukaryota; Metazoa; Chordata; Actinopteri; Siluriformes; Ictaluridae
Source: Ensembl